AUGGUAUGACUGGUACAAUUGGUUUCUCCCUUCUGACGAAGCAUGAUGUCAUUAAUUUGGUGUCGUGGGGAAUCAGGACUGUUACUUUGAAAAAAUUAGAGUGUUUAAAGCAAGCAUUAGCUUGAAUACAUUAGCAUGGAAUAAUGAAAUAGGACGUUUGAUCCUAUUUCGUUGGUUUCUAGGAUCGACGUAAUGAUUAAUAGGGAUAGUUGGGGGCAUUAGUAUUCAAUUGUCAGAGGUGAAAUUCUUGGAUUUAUUGAAGACUAACUACUGCGAAAGCAUUUGCCAAGGAUGUUUUCAUUAAUCAAGAACGAAAGUUAGGGGAUCGAAGACGAUCAGAUACCGUCGUAGUCUUAACCAUAAACUAUGCCGACUAGGGAUCGGAUGAUGUUAAUUUUUUAAUGACUCAUUCGGCGCCAUACG
RNAcentral lists this ribosomal RNA (423 nucleotides) under uncultured Glomeromycotina. Its description in RNAcentral is "SSU rRNA". It matches the Rfam family "Eukaryotic small subunit ribosomal RNA", at positions 671 to 1092 of the family's 1831-position model. Lineage: Eukaryota; Fungi; Glomeromycota. The record is from RNAcentral.